Small nucleolar RNA from Neltuma alba, 94 nucleotides. RefSeq annotates it as small nucleolar RNA snoR128. The record is from RefSeq and is a predicted model, not a curated record. The transcript has a single exon. NCBI's taxonomy places the organism in Eukaryota, Viridiplantae, Streptophyta, Magnoliopsida, Fabales, Fabaceae.
UUGCUGUGAUGAUCGUAAGGGUUAUUGAUGAUAUUCAUGGAAUGUCUCAUGAGAUUUUGACAAUUAUGUCAAACCUGAGCGGUUACCUGAGCAA